AGUGAACGCUGGCGGUAGGCCUAACACAUGCAAGUCGAACGGCAGCACAGUAAGAGCUUGCUCUUACGGGUGGCGAGUGGCGGACGGGUGAGGAAUACAUCGGAAUCUACUUUUUCGUGGGGGAUAACGUAGGGAAACUUACGCUAAUACCGCAUACGACCUACGGGUGAAAGCAGGGGAUCUUCGGACCUUGCGCGAUUGAAUGAGCCGAUGUCGGAUUAGCUAGUUGGCGGGGUAAAGGCCCACCAAGGCGACGAUCCGUAGCUGGUCUGAGAGGAUGAUCAGCCACACUGGAACUGAGACACGGUCCAGACUCCUACGGGAGGCAGCAGUGGGGAAUAUUGGACAAUGAGCGCAGGCCUGAUCCAGCCAUACCGCGUGGGUGAAGAAGGCCUUCGGGUUGUAAAGCCCUUUUGUUGGGAAAGAAAAGCAGCAGGUUAAUACCCCGCUGUUCUGACGGUACCCAAAGAAUAAGCACCGGCUAACUUCGUG
Molecule: ribosomal RNA, 492 nt
Filed under: uncultured bacterium
Lineage: Bacteria
Description: partial 16S ribosomal RNA
Rfam family: Bacterial small subunit ribosomal RNA
Source: RNAcentral